This 466-nucleotide ribosomal RNA is filed under the name uncultured bacterium. RNAcentral's name for it is "bacterial SSU rRNA". It matches the Rfam family "Bacterial small subunit ribosomal RNA", at positions 355 to 825 of the family's 1533-position model. The record is from RNAcentral.
UCGGGAAUUUUGGGCAAUGGGCGAAAGCCUGACCCAGCAACGCCGCGUGCAGGAAGAAGGCGUUAUGCGUUGUAAACUGCUUUUGCCAGGGGAUAAAAUGACCGUGCGCGGUUAAUUGAAGGUACCUGGUGAAUAAGUCACGGCUAACUACGUGCCAGCAGCCGCGGUAAUACGUAGGUGGCAAGCGUUGUCCGGAUUUAUUGGGUUUAAAGGGUGCGUAGGUGGCCCUGUAAGCCAGUGGUGAAAUAUCUCAGCUUAACUGAGAGGGUGCCAUUGAUACUGCAGGGCUUGAGUACAGAUGAGGUAGGCGGAAUUGACGGUGUAGCGGUGAAAUGCAUAGAUAUCGUCAAGAACACCGAUAGCGAAGGCAGCUUACCAAGCUGUAACUGACACUGAGGCACGAAAGUGUGGGGAUCAAACAGGAUUAGAUACCCCAGUAGUCCCUGAGCGGGCUGGCAAGGCGCAU